CCUUGGGGCCGUGCCCACUGCCCUGGGGAGCCUGGUCAGUGCCAAAUCAAGACCAGACUCCACCACCACUGAACUCUGAUCCACGAUUCACCAAGACGAGCAAGAGGUCGGGAGGUUCUCCGCUACAAACACCAAGUGCUGCUGAUACUUGUAAACACCUCUCCAAAACAGGCAACAUCAGGGAUACUGUAAUCCUGUCUCUAUAAUCCUAAGAGAUGCCACAGAACCACCCAGCCCCGCACCUGCUGUGACCUUCCCAAGGCAGAUCCCAAACCAACCACGGCACGUGCAGCUCUUACCCUCGUGUGCCCUGGGACACUGAAUCAGUGCAAGCCUGUGAAUCACACCAAAGUUACUCUCUCCAUUUCUCAAAUUAGGUUGCUCCAAAACCAACUGAAUGGGCACAAUAUUUGAGUUUCAUGUUGCUUAACAACCUCACACAAAUGGCAACAAAUUGUUCCUUGACAUUUUUUGGUGCCUGCAGAAAACAGAGCCUCGACAGAUGGAAUUUAUCUGUUGCUCUCUCCUGGUUGAAAAGCUUACAUUGCUUUCGUCCUUCAGGAAUUGUACCAGGGAAACCUGGCACUGAGGUGAGUGUACUGACCAAGUUUUGAUUCAAACAUAAGGUCAGGACUCAGCUACAUCACUGCUUUGAGGACCUGCUCCAUUUCUAAAGCUGUUUUAUUGGUGAAUUGUAGAUUUUUCUUGGCUUCCCUUUCAGCUGUUUCCAGGUUUUAAUGAUCUGUGAUAACUAUUUGUUAAGAAUUUGCGUGGUGCUGCCUCAAAACCUGCUUGCACUGCAGUUUCUUCCUUUGUAGCUGGAACUGGGGUUUGCAUCACUUCACGUCCCAGUGACUUACUCUGAGCUCAGCUUCCUCCAAACUGGUGAAGGAAGGAUGUCUGAAAACCGCACUGAUGAUGGCAACCGUCUCCGCUCCGGUUCUCGGGUUCCUGUUGCCAUAGAGCCCAGGCCUGGAGCCAACAAUCCCCACAGGCUCAACGAGAGCUGAAUGUCACCCCUGGGCAUCCACCGUGGGGCUUCCACUCCUGAAAUCGCUCCUGAGCAGCCUGUAGGGAUGGGAAGACACGUCCCAUGUCCCACGGCCUGUUAACAUCCACCAUUUCCACCAAGGAAAUGUCUGUCAGGAGAGGUCCAGCUGCCUCCAACGUCUUGGUGAAGACUCAAGUGGUUCCAGACAGUCCAAACUGGGAUGGGGGGGGACUUGAUAGUGAUGACAGUGCUGAUGGCACAGACUCAGUAUUUCCUCAAUGGAACCGGGGCAUUGAAAUAAUGGGGGCAAAGGACUCAGACCUUCUUCUGAGCCACUGGAUGCAGCUCACGUCAUGUUGUCAAUGUAACCCACUUGGUAACAGCACUUGGUUCCCUCAGAACCCCCUGAACCACCACACUUCUCCUUUUCCCUGAAGCAGGAAGUACUGCUUGCAAAACCCAACCUCUCCAUAUUUGGAAGAACUGGCUCCAGAGGUUUCCCAGCUCAGGAGUCACCCGUGAGCCACCUGAGUGUGGGCUGUGAGACACAAAGGUGGAGGACAGUCCCUGGCCAUGGCAGCACGGCCAGGGCACAGAGCCAGGCUCCACAGUGCAGCACCAGCCUGUCCCACCCCUCUGGCAGGUGUGUGGUGCUGACACGAGGCUCUUUUGUGACUAGGGCAGGUCAUUUGGUCUCCAGCACUGUGUUGGCCAUGCCCUGUGCACCCUGAGCAGCUGGAUCAUGGAAGGAGUUGCCACUAAGGUCUCCUGGAUGGAGCACCACGAGCGAGCCUGUCUGUCAGAACUUGUUCUGGAAACGAUGAAAAUGCAAGUGCUGGCUGAAGAAGGAGGCAGAGCUGGAGCACUGAGGAGGAGGAAAUGUUCUUGCCUGGAUGACUCAACUGCUUGUGGUCCCCACCCCUGAAUCCAGCCCAGCUCUGGAUGGUCCUGUGACACCCAGGAGUGAUGGCAGCCAGGGAAGAGUGAGAGCUUAAUCCCUUCGGCCCUUUCCUACAGAUGGAUCCUGCCUGUGACCUACAACAGCCUGAUGAUGAUGAGCAAGGAUGCCCAGGCAGAUGAGGGAUGAUAUAAAAUGUUGGGAAAGCCUUGAUAAGCUGCACCUGCACCUCCCAAAAGGAUCUGAAGAGACUUGGCUGUGCUGGCUAGAACUGAAAGGAACAGCAAUCACUUCUGCAGCUGGGGCCUGCACUCACGGCCACAAAAAACAAGUCUUGGAAAUCCUGGAAAUCUUUGAACAAUUUCCAAGAUGAGGAGGAAACCUCUGAGUCUGGUCACUUCAGAGACAGAGUGAAGCAGAGUUUUUAGGGCCGUGGAGAAGCCCUAAGUUCCCAUUUCAGGGACUCAGCAUCCACCCACAGGGGCAGCUCUGGAGCUGGGAAGCUCCUACCCUGACAGGGGGGUGGAAGUGGGAGAGCUCAGAGCACCAAGCAGCCCUGUGGCACUGCAUUUCCUUUCAGAUGCCUGUGAGUAUCCUUAAAUAAGGAAUACAAUCCUACAAGGAAGAAGCCAAGACAUUCUCUGCAGUGCUGUGGGAGCUGGGGGGCUGGACUCUGCUCCUGGAAGCACCAAGGUAACAGUGAUGACAGGGUCUAGUGCUCAGCCUUGGCCUCAGCCAUGGCAACACCUCUCAGCUCGAGCAGGAGGCCAGGGGCUGUGUGACUGUGUGGGAGUUGGCUGCACAAGAAGUUCUCAGAAGAAAAGGACAACUGGAAGAGCAGUUUCCCAUGGGAAUACUUCACCAAACAGUGUUUGCAAAGGUCAGUACCAGGAUCCCUCGACAGCCCUGCCAGAUGCUGUUAGAAAAGGACAAAGGCAUGAGGAGGGGACAACAACCUCCUGAAAAAACCACUGCUGAAACCUUUUCUCUCUCUGCUUUCAGGGGUAGCACAUCUCAGCAGAGGUGUGAGGGUUAUCAGCCAGCCAUAAAAGAUGGGCAGUGAACAGAACUUCCAUGGUAAUUUUAUUGAAAAUACGCAGGUUAUAAACCCAGCAGCAAAACCUCCAUCUCCUCUCUCUCUCUCUCUCUCUCAUAUCUUAUGUACCUGACUUUUAGGUAUUUCCAGAGGAAUUCUGAUUUCCAAGAGGCUGCUUAUUGAAAGAAAUGCAGUAUGUGAACUUAAACCAGCCACUUUAUGACCAAACCCCUGCACAGCUUUCUCAUCACAGGAUACUCAUGCUGUAUUCAGGAAUCAGAGUAUCCACUGUCUCCAGAGUGAGACAAUCCCCAGGAAAACUUACACUACAUUUACAAUAUUAAUAAACA
Molecule: long non-coding RNA, 3275 nt
Organism: Pipra filicauda (Wire-tailed manakin)
Lineage: Eukaryota; Metazoa; Chordata; Aves; Passeriformes; Pipridae
Exons: 3
Source: RefSeq, a predicted model, not a curated record